Non-coding RNA from Leptonychotes weddellii (Weddell seal), 1074 nucleotides. NCBI's taxonomy places the organism in Eukaryota, Metazoa, Chordata, Mammalia, Carnivora, Phocidae. The record is from RefSeq and is a predicted model, not a curated record.
GUUCCGCCUCCUCAGGCUCCCCGAACCGCUGUGGCCACACCCCAUUCUUUGACCGCCCCCACCGUGGAGGACCCGCCCUUCCGCCUCCGUACCCCCCGGCGUACCCCAGCCGAAGCUGCUAGUGUACCCCUUUCCCCCGCCUCGGCACCCGCAGCGUACCGCAUCUCUCCGCGUUUGCGCACCGCGUACUCUUGGGGUGCCGCACCCCUCCCCGCACCCCAGGCCUACCCCGCCCCUCUGCACCCCGCACUCCCGCAGACCUCACCUCUCCCCGCCCCCACACGCCCGGAGCACCGCGCCACGUACUUCUAGCCUACCCCACGGUUCCCCGCACCCCUCCGUACCCCUCCGUACCCAGCCGCUCCCCCACCUCGGUUCCCCCAAGUGCCGCGCUCCUCCAUCAACGACUGCCGCCUCCCUAAUGGUUCCCUCCUGCCAACCUUCCACCAUGUGCCCUCCUGACCCCUGCCGUGAGCCCCCCUCAGCCCACUCCUUGCCCGCAGAGCCCCGGGAGGGGAGAGGGGCAGCGUCGUCCGGCUCACGGCCCCCCUUGGGGUGUGGUCCGCGCGGCGUCGAGGGAGCGGUGGUGACCUUUUCCAGAGCCCAGGAGGUGCAGACACGCAGCCUGUGGGGCUGGAGAUGGACCGCCCGAAGCACUUGUCUAAUGCCCCCGUGGGGAAGAAGCCCAGACUGCCCUUGCCCCGAGAGCACGGGCAGCUCUCUCCCGCUCUGAGCCCGACUGUGGCCUGGGACCAGCCCGGUGCCCAGGGCGAAAGGCAGCAGCUGCAGACGCAGGACUGGGAGUCGGGAAGGGAGGAUGCUUGAACCACAGAAACGUAUUGUCUCAAAGUCUGGAGGCUGGAAGUUCAAAGCCCAGUGUCAGCCGGGCUGGUUCCUUUUCCAGGCUUCCUCCUCGGCUUGUAGCUGACCCUCUUCUCUGUGUCCUUCACAUCUCCUUCCCUGUGUGUGUGUCUCUGGGUCCUGAUGUGCACUUUGGGGGGUUUGGUUUUGGUUUUGCUAAUUAUUUCUAAGUGUAUGGCUCAGCAGCAUGAAGUAUAUUCACGUUGUUGGAAA